RNAcentral lists this ribosomal RNA (468 nucleotides) under uncultured bacterium. RNAcentral's name for it is "partial 16S ribosomal RNA". It matches the Rfam family "Bacterial small subunit ribosomal RNA", at positions 28 to 507 of the family's 1533-position model. The record is from RNAcentral.
GACGAACGCUGGCGGCGUGCUUAACACAUGCAAGUCGAACGGAAAGGCCCUGCUUUUGUGGGGUGCUCGAGUGGCGAACUGGUGAGUAACACGUGAGUAACCUGCCCUUGACUUUGGGAUAACGUCAGGAAACUGGGGCUAAUACCGGAUAGGAGCUCCUGCUGCAUGGUGGGGGUUGGAAAGUUUCGGCGGUUGGGGAUGGACUCGCGGCUUAUCAGCUUGUUGGUGGGGUAGUGGCUUACCAAGGCUUUGACGGGUAGCCGGCCUGAGAGGGUGACCGGCCACAUUGGGACUGAGAUACGGCCCAGACUCCUACGGGAGGCAGCAGUGGGGAAUAUUGCACAAUGGGCGGAAGCCUGAUGCAGCAACGCCGCGUGCGGGAUGACGGCCUUCGGGUUGUAAACCGCUUUCGCCUGUGACGAAGCGUGAGUGACGGUAAUGGGUAAAGAAGCACCGGCUAACUACGUG